AUGCACGAGGACGUGAUGAAGAGCGUGCUGCCGGAGGUGGAGGCGCUGCUCCAGCAGACGCGCGUGCUGCUCUACCAGGGCAUCCGCGACCUCCGGGACGGCGUCGUGUCCCAGGAGGCGUGGAUGAAGGAGCUAAAGUGGGGCGGCCUGCGCGCGUUCCUGGACGCCGAGCGCGCCGUGUGGCGGACCGGCGAAGGGGACGGGCAGGAGCUCGCCGGGUACGUGCAGCGGUCGGGGGCGCUGACGCAUGUGGUGGUGUACGGCGCUGGGCACCUCGUGCCGGCGGACAACGGGCGCGCGACACAGGAGAUGAUUGAGGGUUGGGUCACGCAGACGGGUGUGUUCGGCGGCGGCAUGAGGUAG
This 363-nucleotide ribosomal RNA is filed under the name Triticum aestivum (bread wheat). RNAcentral describes it as "partial small subunit ribosomal RNA". The record is from RNAcentral. Lineage: Eukaryota; Viridiplantae; Streptophyta; Magnoliopsida; Poales; Poaceae.